UACAGAGGGUGCGAACGUUGCUCGGAAUUACUGGGCGUAAAGCGCAUGUAGGCGGGUCGGCAAGUCAGAUGUGAAAUCCCCGGGCUCAACCUGGGAACUGCAUCUGAAACUGCUGGUCUUGAGUACUGGAGAGGGUGGCGGAAUUCCUGGUGUAGAGGUGAAAUUCGUAGAUAUCAGGAGGAACACCGGUGGCGAAGGCGGCCACCUGGACAGUAACUGACGCUGAGAUGCGAAAGCGUGGGGAGCAAACAGG
This 253-nucleotide ribosomal RNA is filed under the name uncultured bacterium. Its description in RNAcentral is "partial 16S ribosomal RNA". It matches the Rfam family "Bacterial small subunit ribosomal RNA", at positions 524 to 776 of the family's 1533-position model. The record is from RNAcentral.